This 253-nucleotide ribosomal RNA is filed under the name uncultured bacterium. RNAcentral's name for it is "partial 16S ribosomal RNA". It matches the Rfam family "Bacterial small subunit ribosomal RNA", at positions 524 to 776 of the family's 1533-position model. The record is from RNAcentral.
UACGUAGGGGGCAAGCGUUGUCCGGAAUCAUUGGGCGUAAAGAGCGUGUAGGCGGUUCAGUAAGUCUGCUGUGAAAGUCCAGGGCUCAACCCUGGGAUGCCGGUGGAUACUGCUGAGCUAGAGUACGGAAGAGGCGAGUGGAAUUCCCGGUGUAGCGGUGAAAUGCGCAGAUAUCGGGAGGAACACCUAUUGCGAAGGCAGCUCGCUGGGACGUUACUGACGCUGAGACGCGAAAGCGUGGGGAUCAAACAGG